AGAGUUUGAUCCUGGCUCAGGAUGAACGCUGGCGGCGUGUCUAAGGCAUGCAAGUCGAACGGAUUCUCUUUAGUAGCAAUACUAAAAAUAGUUAGUGGCAAACGGGAGCGUAACACAUUGGUAACCUACCUUGAGGUUCGGUACAACCUGUCGAAAGAUGGGCUAAUUCCGGAUGUGAUCCAAUUACAUAUGUAGUUGGAUGAAAGGUGCAAAUCGCCUUUAGAGGGACCUAUGUUUCAUCAGCUUGUUGGUAGGGUAACGGCCUACCAAGGCUACGACGAAUAGCGGGUGUGGGAGCACGACCCGCCUCACAGGGACUGAGACACUGCCCUGACACCUACGGGUGGCUGCAGUCGAGAAUCUUCCCCAAUGGACGAAAGUCUGAGGGAGCGACGCCGCGUGCAGGAAGAAGCUCUUCGGGGCGUAAACUGCUUUUAUAUGGGAACAAGUUCUGAGUGUACCAUAUGAAUAAGGACCUGCUAAACUCGUGCCAGCAGCAGCGGUAAUACGAGUGGUCCGAGCGUUAUCCGGUUUUAUUGGGCGUAAAGGGUCCGCAGGCGGCUUUGAAAGUCCGAUGUUAAAUUCUGGUGCUCAACAUCAGAUCCGCAUUGGAAACUUCAAAGCUAGAGACUGGGAGAGGCAAAUGGAAUUGCCGGUGUAGCAGUAAAAUGCUUUAAUAUCGGCAGGAACACCAAAAGCGAAGGCAUUUUGCUAGAACAGUUCUGACGCUCAGGGACGAAAGCGUGGGGAGCGAAGCGGAUUAGAUACCCGCGUAGUCCACGCCGUAAACGAUGGGUACUAGGUAUUGGAAGUAUCGACCCUUUCAGUGCCGUUUACCUAAGGUAACCCCUUAAGUACCCCGCCUGGGAAGUACGGCCGCAAGGCUAAAACUUAAAGGAAUUGACGGGAACCCGCACAAGCGGUGGAGCAUGUGGUUUAAUUCGACGGUAAGCGAAGAACCUUACCAGGGCUUGACAUCCCGCGAAUCUCGCAGAAACGUGAGAGUGCCCGUAAGGGAGCGCGGUGACAGGUGCUGCAUGGUUGUCGUCAGCUCGUGUCGUGAGAUGUCGGGUUAAGUCCUCAAACGAGCGCAACCCCCAUCUUGUGUUGCAUUUCACAAGAAACUGCCUCGGUCAACGGGGAGGAAGGUGGGGACGACGUCAAAUCAGCAUGGCUCUUACGCCCUGGGCUACACACGUGCUACAAUGGCCACAACAACGGGUCGCCAAACCGCAAGGUGGAGCUAAUCCCUAAAAUGUGGUCCCAGUUCGGAUUGGAGGCUGCAACUCGCCUCCAUGAAGCCGGAAUCGCUAGUAACCGCCGGUCAGCUAUACGGCGGUGAAUACGUUCUCGGGUUUUGUACACACCGCCCGUCACGUCAAGGGAGUCGGUGGCGCCUGAAGUGCCCCGUUCGGGGAGCUAGGGCGAAAUUGAUAACAGGGACGAAGUCGUAACAAGGCACCGGUAGCGGAAGCUGUCGGUG
Molecule: ribosomal RNA, 1483 nt
Filed under: groundwater metagenome
Description: bacterial SSU rRNA
Rfam family: Bacterial small subunit ribosomal RNA
Source: RNAcentral